GACUCUCGGCAACAUAUAUCUCGGCUCACGCAUCGAUGAAGAACGUAGCAAAAUGCGAUACUUGGUGUGAAUUGCAUAAUCCCGUGAACCAUCGAUUUUUUGAUCGCAAGUUGCGCCCGAAGCAUCCAGUUGUGGGCACGUCUGCGUGGGCGUCACACAUUACGUCGCCCCCACCAGGCCAUCCCUUUUAGGGUUGUCUUGUGUUGGCGCGGAGAUUGGUCUCCUGUGCCCAUGGCGUGGUUGGCUUAAAUAGGAGUCUCCUCAUGAGGGACGCACGGCUAGUGGUGGUUGAUAAGACAGUCGUCUCGUGUCGUGCGUUUACUUUCUUCAGUGUAGAUGCACUUAAAGUACCCCGACGUGUUAUCUUAUGACGAGGAUUUGAUCGCGACCCCAGGUUAGGCGGGACUACUCUCUGAGUUUAUGCAUAUCAAUAAGUGGAGGAAAAGAAAUCUACAAGAAUUCCCUUAUUAACGGUGAGCGAACCGGAAACAGCCCAGCUUGAAAAUCGGGCGGCUUCGUCGUCCGAAUUGUAGUAUGGAGAAGCGUCCUCAGUGGUGGACCUGGCCAGAGUCCCCUGGAAGGGGACGCCGGAGAGGGUGAGAGCCCCAUCGUGCCCGGACCCUGUCGCACCAGGAGGCGCUGUCUGCGAGUCGGGUUGUUUGGGAAUGCAGCCCCAAUAGUGCGGUAAAUUCCGUCUAAGGCUAAGUAGUGGCGUGAGACCGAUAGCGGCAUUGUCUGCCAGGACUGAGGAAAAUGCGGCAUGGAAAGGUCAG
RNAcentral lists this long non-coding RNA (773 nucleotides) under Helianthus annuus (common sunflower). Its description in RNAcentral is "Bacterial large subunit ribosomal RNA". The stretch from base 386 to 773 matches the Rfam family "Eukaryotic large subunit ribosomal RNA", at positions 1 to 368 of the family's 3401-position model. Lineage: Eukaryota; Viridiplantae; Streptophyta; Magnoliopsida; Asterales; Asteraceae. The record is from RNAcentral.